RNAcentral lists this ribosomal RNA (253 nucleotides) under uncultured bacterium. RNAcentral's name for it is "partial 16S ribosomal RNA". It matches the Rfam family "Bacterial small subunit ribosomal RNA", at positions 524 to 776 of the family's 1533-position model. The record is from RNAcentral.
UACGUAGGGGGCAAGCGUUAUCCGGAUUUAUUGGGCGUAAAGAGCUCGUAGGCGGCCGUUCGCGUCGGAUGUGAAAGCUCAGGGCUCAACUCUGAGAUGCCAUUCGAUACGGGACGGCUAGAGGUAGGUAGGGGAGAAUGGAAUUCCCAGUGUAGCGGUGAAAUGCGUAGAUAUUGGGAAGAACACCGGAGGCGAAGGCGGGUUGCUGGGCCGACACUGACGCUGAUGCGCGAAAGCCAGGGGAGCGAACGGG